Molecule: non-coding RNA, 179 nt
Filed under: Candidatus Sulfomarinibacter kjeldsenii
Lineage: Bacteria; Pseudomonadati; Acidobacteriota; Thermoanaerobaculia; Thermoanaerobaculales; Candidatus Sulfomarinibacteraceae
Description: 6S RNA
Rfam family: 6S / SsrS RNA
About the family: E. coli 6S RNA was the first non coding RNA to be sequenced, but its function was unknown until recently. It consists of 184 nucleotides that fold into an extended hairpin structure with a large single-stranded internal bulge.
Source: RNAcentral
AGGUCCCUACUCGGUUGGUGAUGAGUGAAACUAUCGUUGAACCAACACCUAUUUGAGGGGUUGCCGGGUUCCUUCGCCUCGAUGCCUGCCUUACGGCGGGAGACGGGCGCGGGACAGGCACCCACCUGUGGUUUCGCAGGUUCAAAUAGGGUUGCUCACACGGCCAAAGCGGGGACCUC